ACGGGAGGCAGCAGUGGGGAAUAUUGGACAAUGGGGGAAACCCUGAUCCAGCGACGCCGCGUGAGUGAAGAAGUAUUUCGGUAUGUAAAGCUCUAUCAGCAAGGAAGAAAAUGACGGUACUUGACUAAGAAGCUCCGGCUAAAUACGUGCCAGCAGCCGCGGUAAUACGUAUGGAGCAAGCGGUAUCCGGAUUUACUGGGUGUAAAGGGAGCGUAGACGGCAAAGCAAGUCUGAAGUGAAAUGCCGGGGCUUAACCCCGGAACUGCUUUGGAAACUGUUUAGCUAGAGUGCAGGAGAGGUAAGCGGAAUUCCUAGUGUAGCGGUGAAAUGCGUAGAUAUUAGGAGGAACACCAGUGGCGAAGGCGGCUUGCUGGACUGUAACUGACGUUGAGGCUCGAAAGCGUGGGGAGCAAACAGGAUUAGAUACCCUGGUA
RNAcentral lists this ribosomal RNA (434 nucleotides) under uncultured Lachnospiraceae bacterium. Its description in RNAcentral is "partial 16S ribosomal RNA". It matches the Rfam family "Bacterial small subunit ribosomal RNA", at positions 341 to 792 of the family's 1533-position model. Lineage: Bacteria; Bacillati; Bacillota; Clostridia; Lachnospirales; Lachnospiraceae. The record is from RNAcentral.